AACACAUGCAAGUCGAGGGGCAGCAUGGGCUUAGCUUGCUAAGCUGAUGGCGACCGGCGCACGGGUGAGUAACGCGUAUCCAACCUUCCCCUUACGUAGGGCAUAGCCGGUGAAAAUCGGAUUAAUACCCUAUGUUCUUCACAGCGGGCAUCUAACGUGAAGCAAAGGUUCACCGCUAAGGGAUGGGGAUGCGUCUGAUUAGGUAGUCGGCGGGGUAACGGCCCACCGAGCCAUCGAUCAGUAGGGGUUCUGAGAGGAAGGUCCCCCACAUUGGAACUGAGACACGGUCCAAACUCCUACGGGAGGCAGCAGUGAGGAAUAUUGGUCAAUGGUCGAGAGACUGAACCAGCCAAGUAGCGUGCAAGGAUGACGGCCCUAUGGGUUGUAAACUGCUUUUAUGCGGGGAUAAAGUCACCCACGUGUGGGUGUUUGCAGGUACCGCAUGAAUAAGGACCGGCUAAUUCCGUGCCAGCCGCUGC
This 479-nucleotide ribosomal RNA is filed under the name uncultured bacterium. RNAcentral describes it as "bacterial SSU rRNA". It matches the Rfam family "Bacterial small subunit ribosomal RNA", at positions 50 to 518 of the family's 1533-position model. The record is from RNAcentral.